RNAcentral lists this non-coding RNA (20 nucleotides) under Arabidopsis thaliana (thale cress). Lineage: Eukaryota; Viridiplantae; Streptophyta; Magnoliopsida; Brassicales; Brassicaceae. The record is from RNAcentral.
UAAGAUGUUUGCUAAGAUUU